This 253-nucleotide ribosomal RNA is filed under the name uncultured bacterium. RNAcentral describes it as "partial 16S ribosomal RNA". It matches the Rfam family "Bacterial small subunit ribosomal RNA", at positions 524 to 776 of the family's 1533-position model. The record is from RNAcentral.
UACAGAGGGUGCGAGCGUUAAUCGGAAUUACUGGGCGUAAAGCGCGCGUAGGCGGCUUUGCAAGUCGGGUGUGAAAUCCCCAGGCUUAACCUGGGAACUGCAUUCGAGACUGCAUUGCUAGAGUAUGGGAGAGGGAAGUGGAAUUUCCGGUGUAGCGGUGAAAUGCGUAGAUAUCGGAAGGAACAUCAGUGGCGAAAGCGACGUCCUGGACCAAUACUGACGCUCAGGUGCGAAAGCGUGGGGAGCAAACAGG